GUCACACAUGGACAGCCUCAUCUAUUUUAUUGACCCAUUUCCAGAUGCUGCGAUUACUGAGUUACAUUAAUACACAGCUUUUUAUGGUAUACAGUAAUGUAAUAUAUUAGCCUAAUGUGUUAGGACUCCUUAAACAAGGGAUACUGUAAUCAUUAAUACAGUUGAUCCAUUAGGCUUGGCACAGUGUUUAUUUUAUGGAAACACUCUAAAAGAAAAACAGACCUGAAGUUCAUCAUGUGUAAGGUUACACAAAUCUAUCUUUCAAAUGAGUUCAUUACUCUAAAUAAUUGUCAGAAGUUACAUUUUUGUUUAAUAUAAUCUUUGCAGUAACCUUCCAAAUUAGGGCAAUUUUUCUGUCCAGAUCUGCCUACUGAACUAGAAUAUUUAAUGAGCAACAACUUCUGUUGUGAAUUAAUGGACUGAUAUUGGGGUUUGAUAAAUCAGUUUCCUAAGGUUUGGAUAAGCCAAGAGUUAGACUCUAAGAAUAUAAAAAGGCCUAGAUAACAUCAUAAAAGUAAAGUUCUAGAUCCACAAAGCAGAGAACUAGACCCAGAUUAUAAGUCACUCCACAGAGGUCCCAUUUUUCUGGAUUUGAGGGGAGAAGUGUUUGAUGACAGUAUUUGAAGUGAUUUUAUAUCCAUUUUCUUUUAAAAAGUAAUAGUUUGGAAUUAGUUACUUGUUAAUUAAUCUGUAAAAUAUUUGCUGUGGUGUUAUAAUGUGAAAAUGUGGUUGCUAAUUUUAAAAUAAAUUUUGGGUUUUUUAAAAUAAAUUUUUAAAAACACUUUUUAUGUAUAUCACAGCCUCAACAAGAACUUGAUUUAAACUCUCCACGAAAUACCACUUUGGAAAGACAGACUUUCUAUUGUGUUCCGGUGCCUGGGGAAUCUACGUGGGUAAAAGAAGCCUAUGUUAAUGCAAACCAAGCUCGAGUCAGUCCCUCAACAUCCUACACUCCUAGUCGCCACAAGAGGAGUUAUGAAGAUGAUGAUGAUAUGGACCUACAGCCCAAUAAGCAGAAAGACCAACAUGCAGGUGCCAGACAAGCAGGGAGUGUUGGUGGUCUUCAAUGGUGUGGAGAGCCAAAACGUUUAGAAACUGAAGCUUCUACUGGGCAACAGCUGAACUCUCUGAACUUGUCUUCUCCUUUUGAUUUGAAUUUUCCAUUGCCAGGAGAGAAGGGCCCUGCAUGCCUUGUGAAGGUUUAUGAAGAUUGGGAUUGUUUCAAAGUAAAUGACAUUCUUGAGCUAUAUGGCAUACUGUCUGUGGAUCCUGUGCUGAGUAUACUGAAUAAUGAUGAAAGGGAUGCCUCUGCACUGCUGGAUCCGAUGGAGUGCACAGACACAGCAGAGGAGCAGAGAGUACACAGUCCUCCUGCUUCAUUAGUGCCAAGAAUUCAUGUGAUCUUAGCCCAGAAGUUGCAACACAUCAACCCAUUAUUGCCUGCCUGCCUUAACAAAGAGGAGAGCAAAACCUGUAAGUGUAAGUGUUACAGCCUAGUCAACUAUCGACUGUUAGCCUCAGUGUGUCCAGAGCUGCCUGUAACGUGCUCAUAGUGGAAUUGAGAGUCAGGUCUUCAUUCCUCACAAUAAGUGUUUUCAGUAAUCUCUCUCUCGUUGCCCCAUUUUUCUCUUACAUUAAUUCUCUUCACUGAAAUGAGGACAAAAGAGUAUACAAGGCUGGGUGCAGUGGCUCACGCCUGUAAUCUUAGCACUUUAGGAGGCCGAGGUGGGUGGAUCACCUGAGGUCAGGAGUUCGAGACUAGCCUGGCCAAUAUAGUGAAACCCUGGCUCUACUAAAAAUACAAAAUUAGCCAGGUGUGGUGGCGUGUGCCUGUAAUCCCAGCUACUCGGGAGGCUGAGGCAGGAGAAUCACUUGAACUGGAGGCAGAGGUUGCGGUGAGCUGAGAUGGCGCCAUUGCACUCCAGGCUAGGCAAAAAGAGCAAAACUUGGUCUC
RNAcentral lists this small RNA (1954 nucleotides) under Pan troglodytes (chimpanzee). Its description in RNAcentral is "processed transcript". Lineage: Eukaryota; Metazoa; Chordata; Mammalia; Primates; Hominidae. The record is from RNAcentral.